Gallus gallus (chicken) is the source of this 1664-nucleotide long non-coding RNA. The record is from Ensembl. NCBI's taxonomy places the organism in Eukaryota, Metazoa, Chordata, Aves, Galliformes, Phasianidae.
CGAGACGGAAGCGCGGCAGGACGGGAGCGGUGCUGAGGACAGCGGCGCCGGAGGGGUGCGGGAGAACGGCUCCAUGCCGGGGAGAGGAACCGAGCGCGGCCCGAAUCCCCCCGCCGUCCCCUCCGCUCCCCUCUGCUCCGCUCGGCCGUGGGAUGCGGGGAUUUGGGACGGCUGAAGGACUCGGGGCCCCCACCGCCGCAGCGCUGCUGCCCGCAUCCGGGCCGGGCCCCCCCGAGCCUCCAGCGCUGCUCCCGGUGCCCCCCGGGGCUGAGGUGGUCUGUGGGUGUAGGGGCAGUGGGGGAGAUGUGGUGGGGAUGUGGGAGCUGAGGGGGCUGUAGGGUAAUGUGGGGCCGUGGGGGGCUGUAGGGGUGGCUCUUGGGGGCUGUGGGACUGUGGGGGGUUACAGGAGGUUUUGGUUCAGCAUCUCCUGAUGUGUCACACACAUUUCCAGAGGUCGCUCACUGAAAGUGCUGAAUUAAGAUGGUGAAUUUUGCUGGACAGAGCAGAGCGCUUGUCUAAUGAAACCUCUGAAGUGCCAGGUUUGUUCUGCAGGCCCCGAUGAUGACCCAGGCAUGAAAGAGCCCAGAGCUCGUCGCUGGGGAGAGGCUGCGUAUGGCGUUGUGAAGGGAGAGGUGGAGGAGGGCUUUGAGCAGCGCUGUGCAGGAAUGAAUGGCUGGCAGGAGCCGGGCAGCGGUACUGCAGCUCGUCUGGCAGCUUUGCAGCUCAGUUGGGAAGUAGAAGAUGUGGCUGUGAAAGAAGAAGUCAGUUGCUGGGACGUCCCCCUGUUCUUCCCCUAGCUGUCCCUAUGCCUCAGCCUGGAUUCUUCUUGCAUUCCUGUAGGAUUCCCUUCCAUCCUCCUGGUUGUCCCUUGCUUUCCCCAAGGUUGCUCUUUCCUUUCCCAUGACAGCCCACCCAUCAUUCCCUCAAAGCCCCAAUAUCCACCCCAGUGUUUCCCCAGUAAGACUCCUAGAGACGCCCUGUAGCACCCCACAGAGCCCCAUACACCCUCUAGGACCUCCUCAGACCCGGUACGCCUCUCCCGUAGCUGGCCCAUACGCACACGGAGCUCCACAGUCCCCAGCUUCACCCCAUGUAACCUACUGGCCUCCUUCAAGACCCCCGUGUUUCCUCUAUUUCCUCCUUCAGACCUCCUUUCCCACCUCCAAGACCCCAACCCCGGGAUCUCACCGAUUCCCACAGUCCCUGACAGGACCCCUGUCACCAUCCCAGGAACCCCAUAGCCCACCUGAGGGCCCUCCUCAACCCCAUCCCCAUCAAGCUCUUGUACAGCCAUAGGGUGCUGGGGCAGGGGUGGCUGCUGCAGGAGAGGAAUGCGGGGCUGGAGCAGGUGUAGGGCACAGCUGUGGGUGAAAGGGAUGUGAGGGGCACUGUGGGUCCAGGAACGUAGGGGUUGUGGGGGCACGUGGGGAGCGGUUUGGGGUGAGAAUGGAGGAUGUGCGGUGGUGUUGGAGUGCACUGGUUGAUUUCUUCCUGGGAGGGGAUUGGGGUUCCCCUUGGCCCAAAGGUGGAGCCCUGAUUCAUAACCCCACGUGAGCCCAGAACCCCAUAUAACUCUGCAUGAGCCCAAGGCUCCACAUGACCCAUAACCGUGUGAGCACCGUAAGCCCAUAUGAGGCUGAGGGCAGUGGUGGGUCUGUUACUGG